GGAUGGAAUCAAACCAAUCAUUGUGUCUGCUUCUAUUUCCUGAAAGAGCAGAGGUGUUUCUUCACCGGGGGGGGGGGGGGGUCACUAAUUACACAGCCUACUUCAGCCUCUUUGAACUUAAAUACACUCUGUUCAAGCAGGCUUAUUGAACUACUUUUCUUCUGCUGUCACUUUAAAAUGGCAGAAAAUAUAAACAUUUGUCACCAUGUGAGCGAUGUCAAUGCAUGUUGAGCUGAAUCAAUCUCUCUAAAUAACAAAGACUAGUAAGGGAUUACCACGCUGACUUAAGUGUGGACACUUAUUAGCUUUUGUAAAACAAGAGGCUUCCUUGAUAAACAAGAAGCUGUUUGCACAAUAUGCAAAGCUUUCUAUUCACCUGUUAAGACAGCACCGUAAGAGCACUGAACACCAGGCUUCUGUUCCUGUGGAGCCAGCUGCCUUGGAAAAGUCUCAGUUACAAAAAACAAACAUUCCCACAGAGGGUUAACUCUAUCACGACAUUCACUGCCAGGUGUAUCUGCAGAGAUUUAAGACCAAUAUGGUUGACAAAUCCUGGUUUCUGAGAAAUUAUUCAAACUAUAAGAAAAACUUUUUUUUUUUUUUUUCUCAAACUAGAGUUCUGAAUGAGGCACAUACUGGAACAAAACUGUAUUGUACUGCAUUACCUGGGACUUCUGCCGCAUCCGUGACGGCUCAGAUCUGGAACGAUGGUGAUUUUCGCUGUACGCCAAUGCCCACCGGAUCCGUUUGUAAGGCGAAUUUCACGGCACAUUAUGGACAGCAGGAAUUGCGAGAACUCACAAGAACCCGCGGAUUCACAUGCAAUCGCGCGAUAUCAAAUUGUCUUUACCCACAUAGGCUAACCAUACAAGAAGUAGAUUGUGUCCUUCCAGGGGAGGAAAUCUUCUAGACUUAUAAAAUCAGCAUCCUCUCAUCCAUGGUGUUAUUGAGGUGAAAUGCUGUCUAAAAACCUUUCACUUGUUCGUUCCCGCCCGUUUGCAUGAUGUAAAAUAUGAUCUGCCUAAAACAAGUGUCUUAUUUUGAAAAGAAGCCGGGUGUUUUAUUUUAUGUAUGUGCCCGACUUCCUAUCCAGCACAGGUUAAUCUGUGCUGAAUUUAUCCAGCAUGCUCCGGCGUCCAGAAAAAAAUAGAACUCUUGCAAUCAGCUAUGGAGUCUGGCGAUCUGCAGCAGAACAGAAAGAAGCCGGUGGAGAUUGACACAUUGACUUGAAUGGUUAUGAUCGGCAGAUACGGUCUGUACGUAGCCGUAAAGCCAUCCGUUUGUGGUGGAAAUUGCCAGUUAUGCUUGCACUGAAUGGGACAUAAAUGUCAAGAGUCCUGCCCAAGUAAAAGAUAACACUGAUAUGCACUUAUACAAUGUCAUCCUUGUAUUGUAUCUGUCCUUCAAAGAGAGUGUAGAUACAGGGGUCGCUGGUUCAACCCCUGCCAUGGCAGGAUACACUAAGGGCGAGGAGAUUAAAGGAGCCGUGCGUGCCAAUGUUUAAGUGCCCUUAGGCAAGGCCACCAACCCCCUGCUGCUGCUGCUAUGGAGCCAACACACAGAGCUAGCUUCCAGGUCUAGAUGUGUUUAGCAGGACAAUCUUAAAAAGCAGAAUUGUCUGACACAAGUAGGUGGUUGCAUAGAAAAAGGAGAAAAGAAAUAGAUUUAUAAAAGCAUUUUCCUUUUUUUCCGCCAGUGAAGCCAACAAAAUGAAUAACAGUCAUUGUUUUAUCCCACAGUGAGACAAAUGAGGUAUUCUGAUCUGAAGCAAGUAAGAGGAGCUGAGAGUGUCACUGUGGCUGCAAAAGCACUUAAAAAGAGGCAGAGCUCACUCCUCCCAGACUGCCUACCUGUCACCUGAAGCACCAUCAAACCCUGCUGUGACAAACUGACAUGAGAGGCAUCUGGAAGCUGUCUCCGAGCCAGACAGUCAUGUCAUCUUAUCCCACUCUGGCAUGGCAUUCAGGAAACCAGGGGAUUAAACCCAGCACUAACUUCACAAGCAGACAGCGCUCCAAAGACAGACUUUUGCAUGAUGAGACAAUCUUGUGACAACGGUUGUGUUUAUGUGAGAGUGGGGUGUGUGCAGGAUCAGGGACAUUGUUAGAUCCAAACCAUUACAAGUAUAGACUAGCAUGUAAUCAAUGAGCCUCAUCAUGGAGAUUGUAGACAGUUAACAGCCUGGGGGAUACAUAAAGAAUCACUACAUACUCAUACUUUUCUCUCUCACGGCUCGGCUACAGUCUCUACUAAGCAUAACUUAACAUGAGCAUAGAUAUAUGUGUUUAUUUUCAUAGAUCCAUGAUCAUUCAAUUACCAUGUGCUGGACUCUCACUUUGCUUCUCUUUCUCCUUUUCAAGUAGGUUUUGAUUAGCCUGGCUGGGCCAUCCAGUUGUGUGAAUCACUUGCCGUUCCUUCCCACAACAGUCUGGACUUUGGCCCACUGGGAGCCCUAAAAGUGGGCGGGAGUAUUUUCUUUGAUAGACAGACUACUGUUACCAAUCACCGUCACCAAACAUCUGACGUCAUCACAGUGCGCAACUGUGUUCCCUGCUGGGCUCUCAAGCAUCAAGUAAAGGUUUGGGAAUAUUUCAACAUGUGCGAGCAAACAAUGUCUUUUACGUCUUCUGCGGAUAUAAACGAUUUCUGCCGACUUUGCAAAGUCAACUGCAGAAUUAACGGCCUUCUGAAUGAACGGCGCUUUGAAAAGUCCCGCAGCAUGUGUUAGACGUUACCAUCUACACAUGGACCAAUCAGGGGCUGCCUUUCACUGUUGUCCAGGGAACAGUGGAAACACAGUCACUGAUUGGCCCGGUUAUUUUCUGAUUUGUAAUACACGCUUCCAAUUGGCCGAAGUCCAGACUGUUGUGGGAAGGAACGGCAAGUGAUUCACGCAACUGGAUGGCCCAGCCAGGCUAGGUUUUGAUGGUCUUUCUCACAUAGCUUUGCAGUUUUCAAAACAUAACCAACAAAACAUAAUUCGAGUUAUAUUUUGAAAAAUGCUGAAGUCAAAUUACAUUAUCUUUCUGUCUACCACGUCAGAAACUGUGUCAAAUUUUGAGAAACUAAGGUUACAAUAGUUUCUGAAUUUUGUUAGUUUUUAAUGUAUUUAAUUUUGGUUGUAUGUUUGUAUGUUUAGUUUUGAUUCGUUUAAAGGCUGGGUUUUUUUCAAUUUAGUUUAUUUUGAUCAUUUUUUGUGUUUUAAUGUUUCGUCUGUUAUUUUAGUAUUAAAAAAAAACAGAUGGAUUACCCCCAAUUUACACUGCAUCCGGAAUGACUACAAAAAAUCCAUAUCCGCCAAUCGUAACCAUCCAAGUCAAUGUGUCGAUUUCCACCGGCUUCUUUCCGUUCCACUGCAGGAUGCUUCUGAUCGCCGGACUCUGCAGCCUAUCGCAAGAGUUCUAUUUUUUCUGGACGCUGGAUCAUGCCGGAUAAAUUUAGCACAGAUUAACCUGUUCACUCUGAUGACACCAUGGAUGAGAGGAUGCUGAUUUUAUAAGUCUAGGAGUAGAUUUCCUCCUCUGGAAGGACAUAGUCUACUGCUUAUAUGGUUAGCCUAUGUGGCUAGAGACAACUUGUUAUUGCGCGAUUGCAUGUGAAUCCGUGAUUCCCGCUGACCGUAAUCCACCACGAAAUUCCCCUCACAAACAGAUCAGGUAGGAAUUGGCGGAUGGCGAAAAUAGCCACCGUUCCGGAUCAGAGCUGUUCUGGAUGUGGUGAAAAUUGGGGGUUAAUGCUUAACAGAGGGUUUUGUUGGUGGUUCAGAGGGGCAAACAGUUCGAGGAGGGGACAUCCUUGUCCUUCCUAAUUUCGAGAUUUUCUUCCUCUCCUCAAAAUAAUUUACAGAUUUGCAAGGAAAUAAAAUACAGGAAAUUAUGCAAGAUAGAUGAAACAUAUUUUCAAGUGUUUAAAAACAAUUAAAAUGUCAGUAACACAAUUACACUACUUAUAAUUUAUAACUGCCAGUCUAUUUUCUUCUCUGUCAUACUUACAUUACACUGUGUUCAGCACUCUGGUAGCAGCUCUAAAACCCAACAACAUAUUACAAUAUAAACUCAUAUUUACUUAUUAUCAAUAACCUCUGUUGAUGUUAAAAAUCUGCUUAAUCUGUGUCUGUCUUGUUAGUAGCUGUCUGAAUCCUCUUCUUUUAUUUCUGAUGGAGCCCUGUUCACCUUGUUGAGAUCCCAACCUGCCAUUCCCACCAGAUUCCUAUAUAUUUACCCUUUAUCCCAUUCUAGACAAUGGUGACCAACAAUUUUGUCUUAAAUUGGUGGACAUUUUAGCUCUGGAGGUGUAAGCCACUUCUCCCCCGAGUUUGCUACCAACUCCUUUUCUGAACUAGCACCCUCAAAUCCCCCCAGAAAAGAAAAAUCACCCCGCACUGUUUAAGGCUGCCAUUUCCCUCUUUGCACAAGCAUUCAUCCUGCUGCAUUACCACCUUUUCUUUUUGCCUUGUGACAAGAGGACAAAGCCCCUAUUCAAUUUAAUUUUCACACCUUUUUAUACUAAAUGGAAAGGCUAAUCAAGAGUCAAACAUUAACAUCUGUUAAACAAAACAUUAGGCCACAAUUAAAUUACAAAUGCUGCUUAUAAUGGCAUCACAGCAACCACAGUUUGCCCUCAACUUACUCUAAAAACCUCAGGUUACCUUUUUAGACUCAGGGAAAUCCAUCAUCUACCGGUGUGUUUCAGGAUAUCUAUUUAUCAGUGCUGAAAGAAGCUAUAAUACCAUAUUUCUAUACUGUUAUUAUUUCUCAGUCCAUUCCUCUGUGCCAUCUAAACCUCCUGGUCUUCCUCCUUGGUCUCUCUUUCUUGAGGACUGCUUAUAUUCUCAGUGACAUCCCUGCUGUGACUCAUAAGCAGACAUCCAAGAGUGCUUCAUCCUCAAGAACUAAAUUUUGUACACGGCACGGACAGCAGGACGCCCCCCUGAGGGACCAGGGACACCCCCUGGCGAUAUGUCCAACUCCUUGUCAUCUCCCAUCUGCACUUCCCUCUGCUGAACCC
This is a non-coding RNA of Xyrichtys novacula (pearly razorfish), 5007 nucleotides long. Lineage: Eukaryota; Metazoa; Chordata; Actinopteri; Labriformes; Labridae. The record is from the annotation of a GenBank genome assembly.